Molecule: RNA transcript, 4703 nt
Organism: Ricinus communis (castor bean)
Lineage: Eukaryota; Viridiplantae; Streptophyta; Magnoliopsida; Malpighiales; Euphorbiaceae
Gene name: coatomer subunit alpha-2
Exons: 5
Source: RefSeq, a predicted model, not a curated record
AAAAUGAAAACAAAAUAGAGAAAAUGAAUUGCCUUGGAAAAACGCGCGUCCAAAUCCAAUCUAGAGCGAGCAAAAGCUUCUGUUACUGGUUUAACAGAUAUUAGAUCUCUCUUCUUCAAAUAUUUUUAUAUCUUAAACUUGCUGUAAAUGCUGUCUUCUGUUUGAUCCCCUCCUCUCAGAUCUCAGGGUUUGGAUAUUGAGAGGGGAAUAAUGUUGACGAAGUUUGAGACGAAGAGUAAUAGAGUAAAAGGACUGAGUUUCCACUGUAAAAGACCAUGGAUCCUUGCUAGUCUCCAUAGUGGUGUGAUCCAGCUAUGGGACUAUCGAAUGGGAACACUUAUUGAUAGGUUUGAUGAACACGAUGGCCCUGUUCGCGGUGUCAAUUUUCAUAAUUCUCAGCCUCUUUUUGUCUCUGGAGGUGAUGAUUACAAGAUUAAGGUUUGGAAUUACAAGAUGCAUAGGUGUCUGUUUACACUUCUUGGACAUCUUGAUUACAUCCGUACUGUGCAGUUUCAUCACGAGUACCCUUGGAUUGUGAGCGCUAGUGAUGAUCAGACAAUACGUAUUUGGAACUGGCAGUCUCGUACUUGCAUUUCUGUGUUGACAGGCCACAAUCAUUAUGUCAUGUGUGCCUCAUUCCAUCCAAAAGAAGACCUUGUUGUUUCUGCCUCUCUGGAUCAGACAGUUCGUGUUUGGGAUAUUGGUGCCCUGAGAAAGAAAACAGUGUCCCCUGCUGAUGACAUUCUGCGGUUGAGUCAGAUGAAUACAGAUAUUUUUGGUGGAGUUGAUGCUGUUGUUAAGUAUGUCUUGGAAGGCCAUGACCGAGGAGUCAAUUGGGCGUCAUUCCACCCCACUCUUCCCUUGAUUGUCUCAGGAGCAGAUGAUCGUCAAGUGAAAUUGUGGCGCAUGAAUGACACAAAGGCUUGGGAAGUGGAUGCAUUGAGAGGACAUAUGAAUAAUGUGUCAUGUGUGAUGUUCCACGCCAAACAGGAUAUCAUUGUUUCAAAUUCAGAGGAUAAAAGCAUUCGUGUCUGGGAUGUAACUAAACGAAUGGGAAUUCAGAAUUUCCGUCGAGAGCAUGAUCGGUUCUGGAUCCUUGCAUCUCACCCUGAGAUGAAUCUCCUAGCCGCAGGUCAUGAUAGUGGCAUGAUUGUCUUUAAGUUAGAGAGAGAAAGGCCAGCCUUUGCAGUCAGUGGUGAUUAUUUGUUCUAUGUCAAAGAACGCUUUUUGCGGUUUUUUCAGUUUUCAACUCAAAGAGAUACUCAAGUAAUUCCCAUCCGGCGACCUGGUACCACCAGCCUGAAUCAAAGUCCAAGGACACUUUCUUAUAGUCCUACUGAGAAUGCUGUUCUUAUUUGCUCUGAUGUGGAAGGUGGAACUUACGAGUUGUAUGUCAUACCCCAAGACAACACUGGUAGGGGUGACACUGUGCCGGAGGCAAAGGGUGGUGCUGGGGGAUCAGCUGUCUUUGUGGCUCGGAAUAGAUUUGCUGUGCUUGAAAAGAGUAGCAACCAAGUCUUGGUCAAAAACCUGAAGAAUGAGGUUGUUAAAAAGAGCGGCCUCCCUGUUGCUGCAGAUGCAAUAUUCUAUGCUGGGACUGGUAACUUGCUUUGCAGGGCAGAGGAUAGAGUAGUCAUAUUUGACCUCCAGCAAAGGAUUGUUCUUGGGGAUCUUCAAACACCAUUGAUCAAGUAUGUUGUUUGGUCUAAUGACAUGGAAACUGUUGCCUUGCUCAGCAAACAUGCCAUCAUCAUUGCUAGCAAGAAGCUUGUUCAUCAGUGCACUCUCCAUGAGACAAUCCGUGUAAAGAGUGGAGCCUGGGAUGAUAAUGGUGUUUUCAUCUAUACAACUUUAAAUCACAUUAAAUACUGCCUUCCUAGUGGGGAUAGCGGCACGAUUAGAACUCUUGAUGUCCCGAUUUACAUUACUAAGAUUGCUAAAAAUACCAUAUUUUACUUGGAUCGAGAUGGGAAGAGCAAACAUAUUGACAUUGAUGCGACAGAAUACAUGUUUAAACUUUGUCUUUUGAGGAAGAAGUAUGACCAUGUUAUGAGUAUGAUUAGGAACUCUCAGCUUUGCGGGCAGGCAAUGAUUGCUUAUUUGCAACAGAAGGGUUUUCCUGAAGUUGCUCUGCAUUUUGUGAAGGAUGAGAGAAGUAGAUUUAAUUUGGCUCUAGAGAGUGGAAAUAUUCAGAUUGCUGUUGCUUCGGCAAAGGAAAUUGACGAGAAAGAUCACUGGUAUAGAUUGGGAGUGGAAGCACUUCGGCAAGGUAAUGCGGGUAUUGUUGAAUAUGCCUACCAGAGGACCAAGAAUUUCGAGAGGUUAUCUUUCCUUUAUCUCAUAACUGGGAAUCUGGAAAAGCUUUCCAAAAUGCUGAAAAUUGCUGAGGUUAAAAAUGAUGUCAUGGGUCAGUUUCAUAAUGCCCUGUAUUUGGGUGAAAUUCAAGAACGUGUCAAGAUUUUAGAGAAUGCUGGUCAUCUGCCACUUGCAUAUACAACUGCUAAAGUCCACGGGCUAGAGGAUAUAGCUGAACGUCUAGCUGCUGAGUUAGGAGAUGAUGUUCCAUCAUUGCCAGAGGGUAAAGUGCCCUCCCUUCUGAUGCCUCCUGCUCCCAUUUUGUGUGGCAGUGAUUGGCCGCUUCUAAGAGUCUUGCUAGGCAUAUUUCAAGGUGGACUGGAGGAUAUCGGUAGAGGUGGUGUUGAUGAAGAUGAAGAGACUCCUGAAGGUGAUUGGGGAGGGGAUCUGGAUACGGAGGAUAUAGAUGGCUUACAAAAUGGGUAUGUUUCAGCAAUAUUGGAGGAUGAGGAAGUGGCUGACGAAAAUGGAGAGGUAGGAUGGGACCUUGAAGACUUGGAGCUUCCCCCUGAGGCAGACACACCAAGGGCUUCUACAAGUGCUCGAUCUUCUGUUUUUGUGGCUCCAACUCUUGGUGUGCCUGUAAGUCAGAUUUUGAUCCAGAGAUCAUCACUUGCUGCUGAACAUGCUGCAGCUGGCAAUUUUGAUACUGCUAUGCGAUUGCUCAACAGGCAACUUGGGAUCCGAAACUUUAGUCCAUUGAGAUCUAUGUUUCUUGACCUUCAUACAGGUAGCCAGACCUAUUUACGUGCAUUGUCAUCGACUCCUGUGAUAUCUCUGGCUGUUGAACGAGGGUGGAAUGAAUCUGCUAGCCCAAAUGUAGGGGGCCCUCCAGCACUGGUGUUCAAUUUCUCUCAAUUGGAAGAGAAGCUCAAGGCUGGCUACAAAGCCACAACAGCUGGGAAAUUCACAGAGGCACUUCGACAAUUUCUCAGCAUUCUUCAAACAAUUCCAUUUAUUGUGGUUGACUCAAGGAGGGAGGUUGAUGAAGUCAAAGAGUUGAUUAUUAUAGUCAAAGAAUAUGUUCUGGGUUUGCAGAUGGAGCUCAAAAGGAGGGAAAUGAAAGAUAAUCCAAUACGCCAACAGGAGCUAGCUGCCUAUUUUACUCACUGCAACCUUCAAAUACCUCAUUUGAGGCUUGCUCUUCUAAAUGCGAUGACCGUUUGUUUCAAGGCAAAGAACCUUGCUACUGCAGCUACCUUUGCUAGGCGGCUACUGGAGACGAACCCCACAAGUGAGCAUCAGGCAAAGCCGGCCAGGCAAGUGUUGCAGGCUGCAGAAAGGAAUAUGACAGAUGCCUCUGAGCUAAAUUACGAUUUUAGAAACCCAUUUGUUACAUGUGGUGCAACAUAUGUUCCAAUUUACAGAGGACAAAAAGAUGUCUCUUGCCCAUAUUGUAGUUCACGAUUUGUGCCAAGCCAGGAAGGGCAGUUAUGUUCUGUUUGUGAUCUUGCUGUUGUUGGGGCAGAUGCUUCAGGGUUACUCUGUUCUCCUACCCAGAUACGAUAAUCAAGAUGCUGAACUAAGAGGUUUUUACAGUAACUUUGCAGCUCAGCUUAUUGACAGCAGAUCCUGGUUAUAUUCUAUCUGCAGGGAAUAAGGCUUGGGAAUCCAGUGGAAUGGACAAUUCAGUCACUCUAAGCUUUGAGCUUAAUAAAACAGGUAUCUCCUCUAUUUGCUGAAUCAAUCUCCAAGGAGUUGGUUGUCUGGUUCGAACCUGGCAGUGCAAGGACUACGGUUCUUCACAAACUGUGCUGCCUCCCUAAGGGCAAGGGACUCCGCUCCCAUCCCAAAUUUAGAGUUGCAUGACUUUGCUGUUGAUAUCUGCAAAUAAAAUCACUACAUGCUUGUUUGAGGCAUCAAGGCAGGGAGGGAGAAGGAGGUAUCUGCAUUUAGUUUUAACAUCAUUCUCAUUCUGAGGCUGCCAUCUAUUUAUAACUUGUUCGUUUCUAAAUUUCCUUCCUGUAUCUAGCACUAUCUCUUCACCAAAACGGAUUAUGGAGGCUCCCCUCACUGGCUAUAUAAUUGAAUUAAGCCUCCAUUGAAAGCUGGGCACUCCUUGACUUUUCAUUUAGAACUUGUUCUGUGCAGAUGAGAAACAUGAUUCUGAAUUGGACAUUGUCAAGAAAAGAAAAUGCUUGCCAGCAACAGCAUCUGUGUUUGUUGGAUUAUACAAUAGAUGAGCAAAAGGAUCACUGGUCCUUGGUCAAUGAGCGGAAAUCUCUACCACUUUGGACGACCCUCAUCACAGCUGAAGGGUACUAUUAUAUCAUAAAUUCAGGUUUUGUAUUUAAGACCUUUGAUAUUGUUUAGAACUUUUAUCUGAGCCUUAAUUAUGUUGCAUUGAA